This 487-nucleotide ribosomal RNA is filed under the name uncultured bacterium. Its description in RNAcentral is "bacterial SSU rRNA". It matches the Rfam family "Bacterial small subunit ribosomal RNA", at positions 32 to 507 of the family's 1533-position model. The record is from RNAcentral.
GACAACGCUGGCGGCGUGGAUUAGGCAUGCAAGUCGAACGGUAGGAUACCUUCGGGUAUCUGAGAGUGGCGAACGGGUGAGUAACACGUAGGUGAUCUACCCUCAAGAUUGGGACAACCCAGGGAAACUUGGGCUAAUACCGGAUGAAAGCAGCAGUGAUGUUGUUUGAAAGGUGGCGUAAGCUGCCGUUUGGGGAUGAGCCUGCGCUCUAUUAGUUAGUUGGCGGGGUAAAGGCCCACCAAGGCGAUGAUAGAUAGGCGGCCUUAACGGGUGGUCGCCCACACUGGGAUUGAGAUACGGCCCAGACUCCUACGGGAGGCAGCAGUCGAGAAUAGUCUACAAUGGCCGAAAGGCUGAUAGUGCGACGCCGCGUGAACGAAGAAGCCCUUCGGGGUGUAAAGUUCUUUUAUAUGUGAGCAGUGCUUUCUAUGUGAACAGCAUGGGGAGAGAGAUAUUAGCAUAUGAAUAAGCAACGGCUAACUCCGUG